UGACGGUACCCAAAGAAUAAGCACCGGCUAACUUCGUGCCAGCAGCCGCGGUAAUACGAAGGGUGCAAGCGUUACUCGGAAUUACUGGGCGUAAAGCGUGCGUAGGUGGUCGUUUAAGUCCGUUGUGAAAGCCCUGGGCUCAACCUGGGAACUGCAGUGGAUACUGGGCGACUAGAGUGUGGUAGAGGGUAGCGGAAUUCCUGGUGUAGCAGUGAAAUGCGUAGAGAUCAGGAGGAACAUCCAUGGCGAAGGCAGCUACCUGGACCAACAC
Molecule: ribosomal RNA, 271 nt
Filed under: Stenotrophomonas maltophilia
Lineage: Bacteria; Pseudomonadati; Pseudomonadota; Gammaproteobacteria; Lysobacterales; Lysobacteraceae
Description: partial 16S ribosomal RNA
Rfam family: Bacterial small subunit ribosomal RNA
Source: RNAcentral